GACAUGGCAUUUGGAUUUGGCCCAACCGUCUCCAAGAGCCAACCCAUUCAGUAUCUGUGGGCCUGUUAACAGCACUCGGCCCAAAUAAUUGGAAGGCCCAUCCAACCACCCUGCUCCCCACCACGCUCGCAGCUGCCUGCCUGCUCUGCUCGACUCCUCCCCACCGCCGGCCGCCAGUAACACCCGGCUCCCCCCGCCGAGACGCCUGCCCACGCUGCCUGCUAGGCCCGUGCCUCCGUCGUGGACCCACCUGUGGCUGAGGCUUGACCCUGCGUUGAUCGCCCUCCUGCAACGCCCAGCGGCGCCCACGAACCGCAGUGAUGGAAGGCCAAGACGCGGUGCAGGGUCUUGGUCCAAGCGUGAAGGCUAACCUGGUUCUUGGAGCAGAAUCGUUUGCCAUCAGCUCUGAGUCCGGUAUCCUAUCUGAGCAGCUGUCCACGAUGAAGGAGAAGAGCAUGGUGAUUCUCAAGGAAUACAUCACCAAGCACAAUGCUCCAAACGAUGUCCCUGACGAGUCCACUGAAGGCGAAUCUGAUGACGAGGGUGAAGCACUAGUCAAGAACCCCCCCAAGAAAUCUAAGAGGCAGAAGUGACCAUCCUGAGUUCAUCUGAUUCAUUGCAAGGCACGGCUACUGUAUCUUUAGCUAUGCUUUUGAUAUAGAAAGAUCAGAUUACUGUUUGGCACAUCUUGCUUGUGUAAGACUGGAUAGUUGUCAGCCACAACCAGCAGGUGUAAGAGCUUGGUGCUCAUGUCAUGCAAUUAUGCCUCUCUCGCUCUCUGUUAUCAUUUCAUAUUUUCUUGCCCUGGACAAUGCGUUGGUAACCCUUAUCCUUUUGUCCUUGUGCUGCGUAGAAGUGUAGAAACUGAAGCACAAGAAUGUCAUGUCACUGAAAAAUCCCUAGUAUUCUCAA
Setaria italica (foxtail millet) is the source of this 912-nucleotide long non-coding RNA. RefSeq lists it as uncharacterized. The transcript has 2 exons. NCBI's taxonomy places the organism in Eukaryota, Viridiplantae, Streptophyta, Magnoliopsida, Poales, Poaceae. The record is from RefSeq and is a predicted model, not a curated record.